AUUGAACGCUGGCGGCAUGCCUUACACAUGCAAGUCGAACGGCAGCACGGGUGCUUGCACCUGGUGGCGAGUGGCGAACGGGUGAGUAAUACAUCGGAACGUACCUUAUCGUGGGAGAUAAUGCAGCGAAAGUUGCGCUAAUACCGCAUAAGCCCUGAGGGGGAAAGCGGGGGACCGUAAUGCCUCGCGCGAUUAGAGCGGCCGAUGUCUGAUUAGCUUGUUGGUGAGGUAAAAGCUCACCAAGGCGAUGAUCAGUAGCUGGUCUGAGAGGACGAUCAGCCACACUGGGACUGAGACACGGCCCAGACUCCUACGGGGGGCAGCAGUGGGGAAUUUUGGACAAUGGGGGCAACCCUGAUCCAGCAAUGCCGCGUGAGUGAAGAAGGCCUUCGGGUUGUAAAGCUCUUUUGUCAGGGAAGAAACAGCAGCUCUAACACAGUCUGCGAAUGACGGUACCUGAAGAAUAAGCACCGGCUAACUACGUGCCAGCCGCCGCCGUAA
RNAcentral lists this ribosomal RNA (501 nucleotides) under uncultured bacterium. RNAcentral describes it as "partial 16S ribosomal RNA". It matches the Rfam family "Bacterial small subunit ribosomal RNA", at positions 30 to 523 of the family's 1533-position model. The record is from RNAcentral.